UCAACAGUGCGCCGGCGCGACUACACUAACGGUAUCACGUCGUGACGGCGUCGAUUUUGAUUUCUCCUUGAUGAGAAGUCGGCAAAAAAUAAAAAUUAAAAAAUCCAAUUUAAAUAUCUCCGAAGCCCUUCGCUGGAGGAUUAUUGAGGCGAGUUUUGCUUCGAUUUGUUCGGAUUUGUGUCCAUCUAUUGGGAAUUUGGAUUCUCAGGUGUUGUGAAGGAAGCACCAGAGAGAUGUUGGUUUACUUGUGGUGGCAUUUGCGGGCGGUGAUAGGGUAUUGUCGAGAGUUAUGGUGAGGUAAACGGGG
RNAcentral lists this long non-coding RNA (307 nucleotides) under Erythranthe guttata (spotted monkey flower). RNAcentral's name for it is "long non-coding RNA (EGUT_LNC003055)". The record is from RNAcentral. Lineage: Eukaryota; Viridiplantae; Streptophyta; Magnoliopsida; Lamiales; Phrymaceae.